This is a long non-coding RNA of Oncorhynchus keta (chum salmon), 652 nucleotides long. RefSeq lists it as uncharacterized. Lineage: Eukaryota; Metazoa; Chordata; Actinopteri; Salmoniformes; Salmonidae. The record is from RefSeq and is a predicted model, not a curated record. The transcript has 3 exons.
GAUAGAUAAUAGACAGUAACAGCAGUAUACUGUAGGUAGGGGUAAAGGAUAGAUAAUAGACAGUAACAGCAGUAUACUGUAGGUAGGGGUAAAGGAUAGAUAAUAGACAGUAACAGCAGUAUACUGUAGGUAGGGGUAAAGGAUAGAUAAGACAGUAACAGCAGUAUACUGCAGGUAGGGGUAAAGGAUAGAUAAUAGACAGUAACAGCAGUAUACUGUAGGUAGGGGUAAAGGAUAGAUAAUAGACAGUAACAGCAGUAUACUGUAGGUAGGGGUAAAGGAUAGAUAAUAGACAGUAACAGCAGUAUACUGUAGGUAGGGGUAAAGGAUAGAUAAUAGACAGUAACAGCAGUAUACUGCAGGUAGGGGUGAAUGAUAGAUAAUAGACAGUAACAGCAGUAUACUGUAGGUAGGGGUAGAUAGAUAAUAGACAGUAACAGCAGUAUACUGUAGGUAGGGGUAAAGGAUAGAUAAUAGACAGUAACAGCAGUAUACUGUAGGUAGGGGUAAAGGAUAGAUAAUAGACAGUAACAGCAGUAUACUGUAGGUAGGGGUAAAGGAUAGAUAAUAGACAGUAACAGCAGUAUACUGUAGGUAGGGGUAAAGGAUAGAUAAUAGACAGUAACAGCAGUAUACUGUAGGUAGGGGUAAA